Molecule: non-coding RNA, 125 nt
Organism: Dermatophagoides farinae (American house dust mite)
Lineage: Eukaryota; Metazoa; Arthropoda; Arachnida; Sarcoptiformes; Pyroglyphidae
Source: RefSeq, a predicted model, not a curated record
AAAGAAUUGAAACCAUUACGUCAAAACGACAUCAUUGAUACAAAAACUAUAUUUAGGAUUGAUCCUGAUUUUACUAUGGAAUUUCCCGAAUUAGAAUUACUGAAACUGUCAAAUCGAACUAAUAU